UACAGAGGUCCCAAGCGUUGUUCGGAUUCACUGGGCGUAAAGGGUGCGUAGGCGGUCGGGUAAGUCUGAUGUGAAAUCUCUGGGCUUAACCCAGAAAUGGCAUUGGAUACUAUCUGGCUAGAGGAAUGGAGGGGAGACUGGAAUACUUGGUGUAGCAGUGAAAUGCGUAGAUAUCAAGUGGAACACCAGUGGCGAAGGCGAGUCUCUGGACAUUUCCUGACGCUGAGGCACGAAAGCUAGGGGAGCAAACAGG
RNAcentral lists this ribosomal RNA (253 nucleotides) under uncultured bacterium. RNAcentral's name for it is "partial 16S ribosomal RNA". It matches the Rfam family "Bacterial small subunit ribosomal RNA", at positions 524 to 776 of the family's 1533-position model. The record is from RNAcentral.